Long non-coding RNA from Equus quagga, 936 nucleotides. RefSeq lists it as uncharacterized. The transcript is spliced from 3 exons. NCBI's taxonomy places the organism in Eukaryota, Metazoa, Chordata, Mammalia, Perissodactyla, Equidae. The record is from RefSeq and is a predicted model, not a curated record.
CCUGGUAAGGAACUGAGGCCUCCAGCCAACAGCCGCGUGAGUGAGCCACCUUGGAAGAGCUCCUCCUGCCCCAGGCAAGCCUUCAGGUGGCGCAGCCCCGGCCAACAUCUUCACAGCAGCCUCAUGAGAGACCCUGAGACAGAACCGCCCAGCAGAGCUGCUUCUGAAUUCCAGACCCACAGAAACUACAGAUGGAGAAAGAGAGCAAACAGUCACCACCCACUGCACAAAGUCCAGCUCUGAACGGCGACAUUUGCACCAAUUCUGAUGCUAACAGGCUCACCUGGGGAUUGAACUGACCCUCAGAACUCCCUACUCCAGACUCAGGAAGCGUCUUCUCCCCGGCCCCCGAAUGUGCUUCAUGAAGAGAACAGAUCACAAUGCGUGUCCUGGCUGCAUAUGCCUGACGAGUGAAUUAGACGGGAGAUCAACCUGCACAGGGAGAAUCCUCACUGUAAACUUCAGAAAACCAGUGAUCCUCUACUGGUCACUUUCACCUAUGACCUUGAGGAGAACUAGCAUUUUUUAGCAGAAAGGGACUUUAAAAGGUUGGCGGAGCCCCAGUUGUUUAUUUUAAUGAUGAGGAAGCCACCCCAUGGAGGGGAAGUAAAUUGAGAAAUUUCAUGAAGCAAGUCAGUGUGUUUAAAAAAGAAACAAAGAGAGUUUGUAUUAUGCUUCAGGACUAAUCUGGCUCCCUCCCUGCCCUGAGGGAUUACAUUCCAGGAAGGAGAAGAGAAAAAGUGAACAAGUCAACAUCUCAAACAAGAUAACUGCAGAAAAAGAUGAGUGUUAAGAAGAUACCCAGAAGCCGAAUAGCUGGAUCCUAUAGUAUUUCUAGUCUUAAUUUUUUGAGGAAUCUCCAUACUAUUUCCAUAGUGGCUGCACCAGUUCGAAUUCCCACCAGCAGUGUAUGAGGGUUCCCUUCUCUCCACGUCC